Molecule: ribosomal RNA, 468 nt
Filed under: uncultured bacterium
Lineage: Bacteria
Description: partial 16S ribosomal RNA
Rfam family: Bacterial small subunit ribosomal RNA
Source: RNAcentral
GACGAACGCUGGCGGCGUGCUUAACACAUGCAAGUCGAACGGAAAGGCCCUGCGUUUGUGGGGUUCUGGGUGGGCGAAGGGGGGAGUAACACGUGAGUAACCGGCCCUUGACUUUGGUAUGAGUUCAGGAAACUGGGGCUAAUACCGUAUAGGAUCUCCUGCUGGAUGGUGGGGGUGGGAAAUUUUCGGCUGUUGGGGCUGGACGCGCGGCUGACCAGCUUGCUGGUGGGGUAGUGGCUUACCAAGGCAUUGGCGGGUAGCCGGCAUGAGAGGGUGACCGGCCACAUUGGGACUGAGAUACGGACCAGACUCCUACGGGAGGCAGCAGGGGGGAAUAUUGCACAAUGGGAGGAAGCCUGAUGCAGCAACGCCGCGUGCGGGAUGACGGCCUGCGGGUUGUAAACCGCUUUAGCCUGUGACGAAGCGUGAGUGACGGUAAUGAGUAAAGAAGCACCGGCUAACUACGUG